RNAcentral lists this ribosomal RNA (943 nucleotides) under Streptomyces atrovirens. RNAcentral's name for it is "bacterial SSU rRNA". The record is from RNAcentral. Lineage: Bacteria; Bacillati; Actinomycetota; Actinomycetes; Kitasatosporales; Streptomycetaceae.
CCUCCCGCCACCGCUCGAGAGUUUGAUCCUGGCUCAGGACGAAACGCUGGCGUCGUGCUUAACACAUGCAAGUCGAACGAUGAACCACUUCGGUGGGGAUUAGUGGCGAACGGGUGAGUAACACGUGGGCAAUCUGCCCUGCACUCUGGGACAAGCCCUGGAAACGGGGUCUAAUACCGGAUACUGAUCCGCCUGGGCAUCCAGGCGGUUCGAAAGCUCCGGCGGUGCAGGAUGAGCCCGCGGCCUAUCAGCUUGUUGGUGAGGUAACGGCUCACCAAGGCGACGACGGGUAGCCGGCCUGAGAGGGCGACCGGCCACACUGGGACUGAGACACGGCCCAGACUCCUACGGGAGGCAGCAGUGGGGAAUAUUGCACAAUGGGCGCAAGCCUGAUGCAGCGACGCCGCGUGAGGGAUGACGGCCUUCGGGUUGUAAACCUCUUUCAGCAGGGAAGAAGCGCAAGUGACGGUACCUGCAGAAGAAGCGCCGGCUAACUACGUGCCAGCAGCCGCGGUAAUACGUAGGGCGCGAGCGUUGUCCGGAAUUAUUGGGCGUAAAGAGCUCGUAGGCGGCUUGUCGCGUCGGUUGUGAAAGCCCGGGGCUUAACCCCGGGUCUGCAGUCGAUACGGGCAGGCUAGAGUUCGGUAGGGGAGAUCGGAAUUCCUGGUGUAGCGGUGAAAUGCGCAGAUAUCAGGAGGAACACCGGUGGCGAAGGCGGAUCUCUGGGCCGAUACUGACGCUGAGGAGCGAAAGCGUGGGGAGCGAACAGGAUUAGAUACCCUGGUAGUCCACGCCGUAAACGGUGGGCACUAGGUGUGGGCGACAUUCCACGUCGUCCGUGCCGCAGCUAACGCAUUAAGUGCUCCGCCUGGGGAGUACSGCACGCAAGGCUAAAACUCAAAGGAAUUGACCGGGGCCCGCACAAGCGGCGGAGCAUGUGGCC